Molecule: ribosomal RNA, 497 nt
Filed under: uncultured bacterium
Lineage: Bacteria
Description: partial 16S ribosomal RNA
Rfam family: Bacterial small subunit ribosomal RNA
Source: RNAcentral
GAUGAACGCUGGCGGCGUGCCUAAUACAUGCAAGUCGAGCGAACGGACGAGAAGCUUGCUUCUCUGAUGUUAGCGGCGGACGGGUGAGUAACACGUGGAUAACCUACCUAUAAGACUGGGAUAACUUCGGGAAACCGUAGCUAAUACCGGAUAAUAUUUUGAACCGCAUGGUUCAAAAGUGAAAGACGGUCUUGCUGUCACUUAUAGAUGGAUCCGCGCUGCAUUAGCUAGUUGGUAAGGUAACGGCUUACCAAGGCAACGAUGCAUAGCCGACCUGAGAGGGGGAUAGGCCACACUGGAACUGAGACACGGUCCAGACGCCUACGGGAGGCAGCAGUAGGGAAUCUUCCGCAAUGGGCGAAAGCCUGACGGAGCAACGCCGAGUGAGUGAUGAAGGUCUUCGGAUCGUAAAACUCUGUUAUUAGGGAAGAACAUAUGUGUAAGUAACUGUGCACAUCUUGACGGUACCUAAUCAGAAAGCCACGGCUAACUACGUG